UUGAAGUGACUGGAUGUGCUUUGCAAAACAACUUUCUUACAUUUUCUUUCAUUUUCAUUAACGGGUCAUUAUCUGUAAUUUUGUCACCGAAAAUUGAAUUCAAUGAAAAUUGUUCUAUAUCCUAUAUUUCAGUAACAACACCAGUAUUUAAGAAUUUCAAACACUUUUUAACUCCCAAAGCAGGCACAUGAAUAUGUAAUUUUGGUGAUUAAAUAAUUAUUCUUCCUUAUAUAUUUCUUUACACUAAAAGCGUAGUUUUAUUAGGUUUCUCUUGUUGUCGUACAAAACAAAUGUUUUAUUAGCCAUUAAUAUAUCAAUUCCUCUGCCAUUGAGAUUUUGAGAGAGAAAAAAGGUUGCCAUCACUUUCACAGCAAAUACCCCUUCAAGGGAACGUGGAAGGGUGCGCAAUGACGACGAUGAUAUUACUUUAUCAUUACAUUACUUGGGGAGGCUUAAUACAUGUGUGCAACAUAUGUGUAAUCCUAUACUGUAUACAUUUCUUUUCCUUAGAAUUAAAAAAAUAACAAGAUGUGUUUGUGAAACACAAAUGCCCCCGAUAAUGGUCAAUUCCAAAGAUGGCCAAGGUCACAAUGACAAAUAUCUUGGUACCAGUAGAACGAUCUUGUCACAAGAAAUGCUCAUGUGCAAUAUGAAAGCUUUAAUAUUUACCAUUUAGGAGUUAUGAACAUUUUGAUAUCCACGGAUAGGUCUUGUCACAAGGAAUACUCAUGGGAAAUAUGAAAGCUCUAGUAGUUAUUGUUCAAAGGUUAUUAGCAAGGUUAAAGUUUCAGACAGAAUGACAAGACAGGACAAACAGAAUACCCCCCCCCCCCGAUCUUCGAUCUCGGGGGCAUAAAAAAGUGACAGUUUUUAUACAGCUUAUCUGAAACUAUAAUUUAUACCAAACUUGUUGUAUUGGAUAGUUAUUCCCUGUUCUGUAUGUUCGACCGGCUGUUUACCGAAAUUUCUCGUUCUAUACCAAUCUUCUAGUCUUCAUUCCACCAUUGCUGUCUUGCCAAACAUCAUACUUUAUAUCAUAAAAUUUACGGUGAUUUUCCUAUUUCUAAAUGUCAACAAGUGCGAAAAUGAACAUCUUUUUAUGUUUUUGACCUAGAAACAAAACCAAUACUAACAACACAGAGCAAUCCUGAUUGUUUAGGGAUUUGAUAAAUAAUGAACCCCAAUAUACAGAACAACUCAUAAAAUAAUAUUACAUCCGUUUUAUGUUGAUUUGAUAUUUACAUUAUUUUAUUUAUUAUCUAACUAGAUGCAAUCCAGUGGUAAAGCAGUACAUAUUUAUAUUGUAUUUUAGAUGUAUGGUUAUUUUUUUCUCCAUAUAUGCACGGUUUCUAUUUACCGAAAUUGAAAUUCAUGCUUUUAAAAUUUCGACAUGUAUCUGCAUUUAUUGUAUGCGAACAAAUUUAGUAGGAGCUUAUGAAAUACAUGUGCAUGUCCCUUACUUGAAUUCCUUCUCUCAUCUUAUUACGACAACUCGUUAUAUAAAAUGGGUAAUUCGAUAUAUUUGAAGCUUUGAACGUGGCAAUACCCUAGUAUAGAUCUGGAUCACGUUUAACAAAGGAACUUAUACGGCUAAGUCCAAAAUCUUUUGCAAUUUAUUUUAUUCUUUUCGUUAAUUAGAUUAUGAUUUUAAUGCAAACAAAGAAUUUAAUUAUGCAAUUUGAUGUACGUAAUAUCAUACAAAAUUAAUUAAGUUGAGUAGGUUUUUUUUUUAGAACUAUGUAACAUUUUUAGUCCUAGUCGUAAGUUAUUUGUAAAAUAGGGUCCAGUGGUGUUCUAACAUAUUAGGACAGCCGAAUUCAGGUGAAUAUGAAGGUAAAAAGUUGUUGGACGAAUCCUAAUUUUUUUCUUUUUGAAUGGACGGGAUUCUUCUUUUAUGCUACUAACCAUAGCAUUUUGUGCAGUUUCAGAGGGGCUUGUUUACGGGUACAUAAAAUUCACAUGAUAUCUUAUCAUUUGUAUUAUCAAUGAAAUUAGCGUUUGUAAUCAAAUGGGGAGAGUAUUUUCUUGAUGGAAUAUUGGAUGAGCUACUGGGCCUAGGGAUGGAGAAAUCGACUAGACAAGAACAGCCAAUUUCCAUCAAAAAAGUAAACCUAGGCCUCUACGCUGUACAUUGUUAUGUUUUCUGCCAUCGAUUGUCCAAUAAUUAUGUUGACUUAUGUUGACUUGUCAGAUCUUCAUGUUGUCUUAUCAUAAAAUUAUAUUGACUUGUCAGAUAAUUAUGUUGACUUGUCAGAUAAUUAUGUCGACUUGUCCGAUAAUUAUGUUGACUUAUCAGAUAAUAAUGCUGACUUGUCUGAUAAUUAUGUUGACUUGUCAGAUAAUAAUGCUGACUUGUCUGAUAAUUAUGCUGACUUGUCUGAUAAUUAUGUUGACUUAUCAGAUAAUAAUGCUGACUUGUCUGAUAAUUAUGUUGACUUGUCAGAUAAUAAUGCUGACUUGUCUGAUAAUUAUGUUGACUUGUCAGAUAAUUAUGUUGACUUGUCAGAUGAUUAUGUUGACUUGUCAGAUGAUUAUGUUGACUUGUCAGAUAAUUAUGUCGACUUGUCAUUUUCAAUUAUCUUUUAAUUCUGAUAUGAUAUGCUAAUGUUAUUUGCCAUGAUUUGGUGACACCUACAUUCCACUCUAAUAUCUGAUUAAUCAACAUCACGAUUGAUCUGACGAGUGGACAUAAUUAUCUGCCAAAUCUACAUAAUUAUUUGACAAGUCGACGAAAAGAUCUGAAGAGUCGACAUAAUGAUUUCGGUUUGGGUUAGCCUUAUGUCGACUUCUCAGGUCAUUAUAUCGUUAUGUAAAUGGCACAGUUUGGGCUUGAAAGCAUUUUUACGAUUACCUUUUUUAAACUUUUUAUUAUUUGAUAAGAGUACAAUAUUAUCUGAUAAGUCGACAUAAUAAACUGACAAGUGGACAACAUUAUCUUGCAGGUCGACAUUAUUAUUAAUGGGAAGUACAAUGUAAUAUAUAUUCUUACACGUCAACAAAUCUUGUUCUAUAAAUGAUGCCACUGUGGUCUACAAGAACUAGGAUUCUUUUAAAAGACCAAUUAACGCGAUAUUUGGUAUUAAAAUAUAGUUUCUGGGUCAUUGAUUUUCACAUUUGAUCUAAAAUACCCAUCUUUUAUGUUACUUCUUAACUUUUAAAUGAAAACAUUGUAAUUUUUGUUUAGACUACACUUUGUAACACUGACAAUAAUUCGCGACUGUUCUUUUAAACUUUUAUAUUCUAUUUGAUGAAUUUUUUGGUUGCAAAUUUUCAGUGCAAAAAUAGACAUUAUUUAUGUUAAAUCCUGUAGAAUUAAACCUUUUGAUAUCUAUAUUGCUAGAAGAUAAGACGACAUUGAAUCAUAUAGUAUUAAAUCUUUUAUGAAAUAGAAAUGUUUUAGAAACAUGUAUGCCUCCAUGUGCCAAUAUUGAAAAGCGUCGAUUUUUCAUUUAGAAAGCCUGUAGUGGUGAUGAAAAUUAUGGGUUGUCAGGGGCAACCAUGAUAUCAAUAAGUUUAACCUCUCAAGAUACUAUCCAGGCAUUUCCAAGUAAUUCAUUACCUUUGAUAUUGUGACCUGGAAACAAAUGGGGUCAUCUACUCUUUAGGGGGCACCCGUGCUCUAAGACUGAUGCCUGUCAAGGAAAUGGUUCUCAAAGGUAUUGAGUGGACAAUAUGUUAUUAUUAUGUCCAGUUGAAUCCUAUUGAUUUUGAGGUCACAAGGUCAAUUGUCAAUCUUUUCUGGACAUAAGAUAUUGUUCGUAGGUAGAACCAGAAUACAAAGUUUAAUAUUUGUCAGGCAAGCGUUCUAUAGAUAUUCUGCGGAAAAUAUCUUACUAAUGUCCAGUUUGACCCUUGACCUUGUGACCUGGAAAGCAUUCAAGGUCAUCUACAUGUUAGGGACAACCACUGUACCAAGUUUGGUAACUGUCAAGCAAUUGUUUCUUUAGAUAUUGAGCGGACAAGAUUUGGUCUACAGAUCAAGAUACAUCCUUGACCUUGUGACCUGAAAAUCAAUAGGGAUCAUCUCCUACUUAGGGGCAAACAACUGUAAUAAGUUUGGUAACUGUCAAUCAAAUUCGUAAGAUAAUGAGCGGCGAAGACUUGGUUUACAGGCCGACCUACAGGUGCAAAACAAUAUGCCCCCUCACAUAAAGUUUUAAAAUAGAUUUUUAACAUAAUGGAUGCUAUUUUAUUAUGAUUCAUCAGCUGUAGAAAUUAGCAUUAUACUUGUACAUGUAAAUGAAUCAACAAUACUGCACAACUUAGGUGCAAACCUCUUUAUGAUACUCAAGAAAAUGCAUAUUCGUUUUUUAGGGGCCUCCGUGGCCGAGUGGUUAGAGCAUCGCGCUCAAAAUCACACAGCCUCUCACCUCUGUCGGUGCCGGUUCGAAUCCCGCUAGCGCCGGUAAGUGAGAAAGUUUGAAAGUUACCCAGUUUACUUUCGGAGGGUCGGUGGUCUCUUCCAAAAUGAUAAGAUAAUGAGCGGCGAAGACUUGGUUUACAGGCCGACCUACAGGUGCAAAACAAUAUGCCCCCUCACAUAAAGUUUUAAAAUAGAUUUUUAACAUAAUGGAUGCUAUUUUAUUAUGAUUCAUCAGCUGUAGAAAUUAGCAUUAUACUUGUACAUGUAAAUGAAUCAACAAUACUGCACAACUUAGGUGCAAACCUCUUUAUGAUACUCAAGAAAAUGCAUAUUCGUUUUUUAGGGGCCUCCGUGGCCGAGUGGUUAGAGCAUCGCGCUCAAAAUCACACAGCCUCUCACCUCUGUCGGUGCCGGUUCGAAUCCCGCUAGCGCCGGUAAGUGAGAAAGUUUGAAAGUUACCCAGUUUACUUUCGGAGGGUCGGUGGUCUCUUCCCAGGUACAUUGUAUCUGGGUUCUCUCUUCCACCAAUAAAAACUGUGCGCCACCAGAUACAGGUAACUGAAAAAUCGGAAAACAUCAAUCAAUCAAUCAAUCAUACACGUUUUCAUUGCCCUACAAAUCAAUUCAAUAUUGCCCAGUCACUACUGAGAGAGUUAUCUCUCCUGUAAAGUGUUUAAAGUGUUCCGGAAGUCAAAUAUACAUUUUGGUUUAUCUUAUGUAUUUUUAAAAAUAAAUAGCGAUAGUAAAAUUAUUUCAGUUAUUUUUUAAUCAAUAAACGAUAUAAUGGGCAAAAACAACCUUCUUCGUAAAUUCACACCUUUACGAUACCGAAAACGAGACUGAAAAUGUAAUACCGGAUCUGACGUCACAACCCAUCAUUGGCGGUUUCUUCACAACAAGACGAGAGUAUAAAAGAAGAAAAUAUUCGAAGAGAAAUGGCAAGUAAGAGCAAGGGACGCAUGUGUGUAGUUGUAGGAAGCAACAACAGGCCCUCGGACACCGUUUCCGUCCAUGUUUUCCCGAAGGACGAGCGACAGAGAGCAGCAUAGACUCGAUUUGUGAGACUGACCCGUGCAGACUGGACAGGAUCGUGCCAGUAUACUGUUGUUUGUAGUGCGCAUUUCACGGACGGAUGUUUCCAGGCUCAGUUUUCACUGAUGAGAGAAUUUGUAAUUCCUGCGAAAAAAACGCCUCUGCUCUGGUGCGAUUCUAUCGCUUUAUCCUAAGAGGAAAGUGGACGACCUCAACCUUGCCCUCCUCUCUUCGCCCGAGCCUAAACCCAAGCGCCAGGCUGCCGUCAAGCUGGAGAAAAAUAGGGUAGGUCGUGUGUAACUUUAUUAUGAAGAUUCCAUCGGUAAGAAAGUUGAUACUUUUUAUUGUAGUCUGUGACGUUUAUUAACUUUUUUCACUUUAUAAGUUACAAUACACGUACCAUAUGACGAGUUUCUAACAUGCCCCAUCUAAUCAGGACCCUGGAUUAGAUUGCCGUUUAAACAUAUUCUGUCAUAUAGAUCCACUGACCUAUCUUAGUAAUGUUAUCAAGAACUUUGCAUAAUUUAAAUAUACAUAGACUUCUAUUACUCUUUUAGUGGGCAAUAUUAUUUUUCCAACACGAUUAAAUGUUAACACUGCAAAGAUACCAAUUCUGAUCAAUCAAGUGAAGGCUGAGGGGUGUAGAGUGGGUGGCCUGUAACCCCUGUUAUAACUCCUACAUGUACAUCCUUUGGAUUUAUACGUUAAUGAAAAUUAAAUUAAAUUAUUUCCAAAAAUGACAUGUGAUGGAAACCCCUCUUCACUAAUUUAAUUUACACAAAUCAUGGGCAGAUCCAGGAAUUUUGGAAAGGGGGGGGGGGUUAUACCAUUAUUAAAUUUCAGUUGUUAAAGGGUGUUUCCACCAUCUAUAUGUGUGGGUGUUUUUUAGCAACAUUUUCUGAUGAAAGGGGAGGGUUCCGACCUUCGGGAUACCCCCCCCCCCCCUGAAUGAUCAGGAUCCCCCACUGCAAAUUAUUUCAAUAUUUACAUGGGGACAUUUUAUUUCAAAAUAAUAAAAGAAUUACAGUAAAUACAUUAUAAAGCACUAUCGUAACAAUUAUUUUAUCCUUUUUUAUUGGGAAAGGUUGAUGAUUGCUGCUCUACAUUUUAAUGAGAAUUCCUCAAGGCAGCAUGACAUAACGAAGGAGGGGGACCAACAAUUUAAAAUCAGUUUCCCGAAGUUCAAGUGUUCGUAGGAAGCCUGUUGAUCCAACAAUUACCCAUCAUAUGACCAGUCCUGAUGAAGGAGUUUGGUUUUUCAAGGGUUAUCAGAACCAUUACCAUGCUCAUUGCCAGCUCAACCACCUCCACUGUGCAGUGAAUUUUUCCAUCCUGAUAAAGAAGAAGCAGUGCUACAUUUUACAUCGAGGUUCAGUCGGAAGGAGAUAUCCGUGUGAACGUGAACAAAACGUAACACUAGCUAUUUGGACAUUCUAGCAAAGCAGAUAAAAAAUAUGUUGGUCAUACAGAUGUGCUCUAUUUUAAUCUUGUUUAAAAAUGUUAAAUCAUUGUGAAACACUUUUAUCUUUGGUUUUGUUUAAAUUUGAACCAAAGUCAUAUAGAGUAGUAGGUUGUGAAAACAAAUUUUGUUAUUUUUUACAAAUAAAAAAAGACUGGGAACAACAAUGAUAUAGGGUCUGACCGUUGGGUAACAAUCUGUUUGGUCUUGCAUGCAACAGUGUAUUUUUGCAAAUGAUUUAUAUAAUGAAAUAUUAGCAUAGUAUAUGUAGUAUUAGCUUUAUAGUAUAUAUAAUAGUUGUAAGAGUUAAAAAAUGGGAACAUGAAAGCAGGGUCCUCGUCCCGUUCCUGGAUGCGGACACAUUUUAUUUGAAAUAUUGUUUGUAUAGCUGAUGCUUUCUAGAAAAUUGAUGUAUUAUUUUUGGGCCAUUUCUGUUAGAAUGUUGUGCUUGAAUUUUUUUGUAUGCAUCAUGUAUGAAUCGUACAUUUGUUUUUAAAAAAAAGUUGCUUCAACUAAAUCAUACCAUCACUCAGGUGCAUUGAAUCCUUGAUACUCCUCAGAGGCAAAGGAAUUCCGUCACAGCACAUGAGGGUAGAGGGACUCGCACCUUGUGCCCUAGGUAUCCUUAGCACCACCAAACAAAUUGCCCGUGUGUUAUGUAUCUGUUACGCCUGUAAUUCCGGGAAAUGUUUGGAAUUAUUCACUAAUGAUAAACUAGCAAUCGGACCCAAUGGUCAUGUGAAUUUUGUAUUGAACAAAUCAAUAAAAAAAAAUUGACUUGC
This is a long non-coding RNA of Ostrea edulis (European flat oyster), 7636 nucleotides long. RefSeq lists it as uncharacterized. The record is from RefSeq and is a predicted model, not a curated record. The transcript has 2 exons. NCBI's taxonomy places the organism in Eukaryota, Metazoa, Mollusca, Bivalvia, Ostreida, Ostreidae.